GACGGAGGAUGCAAGCGUUAUCCGGAAUGAUUGGGCGUAAAGCGUCUGUAGGUGGCUUUUUAAGUUCGCCGUCAAAUCCCAGGGCUCAACCCUGGACAGGUGGUGGAAACUACCAAGCUAGAGUACGGUAGGGGCAGAGGGAAUUUCCGGUGGAGCGAUGAAAUGCGUAGAGAUCGGAAGGAACACCCAAGGCGAAAGCACUCUGCUGGGCCGACACUGACACUGAGAGACGAAAGCUAGGGGAGCAAAUGGG
RNAcentral lists this ribosomal RNA (253 nucleotides) under uncultured bacterium. RNAcentral describes it as "partial 16S ribosomal RNA". It matches the Rfam family "Bacterial small subunit ribosomal RNA", at positions 524 to 776 of the family's 1533-position model. The record is from RNAcentral.